Molecule: ribosomal RNA, 680 nt
Filed under: Pseudomonas sp.
Lineage: Bacteria; Pseudomonadati; Pseudomonadota; Gammaproteobacteria; Pseudomonadales; Pseudomonadaceae
Description: bacterial SSU rRNA
Rfam family: Bacterial small subunit ribosomal RNA
Source: RNAcentral
AGUCGAGCGGAUGAGAAGAGCUUGCUCUUCGAUUCAGCGGCGGACGGGUGAGUAAUGCCUAGGAAUCUGCCUGAUAGUGGGGGACAACGUUUCGAAAGGAACGCUAAUACCGCAUACGUCCUACGGGAGAAAGCAGGGGACCUUCGGGCCUUGCGCUAUCAGAUGAGCCUAGGUCGGAUUAGCUUGUUGGUGAGGUAAUGGCUCACCAAGGCGACGAUCCGUAACUGGUCUGAGAGGAUGAUCAGUCACACUGGAACUGAGACACGGUCCAGACUCCUACGGGAGGCAGCAGUGGGGAAUAUUGGACAAUGGGCGAAAGCCUGAUCCAGCCAUGCCGCGUGUGUGAAGAAGGUCUUCGGAUUGUAAAGCACUUUAAGUUGGGAGGAAGGGCAGUCAGCGAAUACCUGAUUGUUUUGACGUUACCGACAGAAUAAGCACCGGCUAACUCUGUGCCAGCAGCCGCGGUAAUACAGAGGGUGCAAGCGUUAAUCGGAAUUACUGGGCGUAAAGCGCGCGUAGGUGGUUUGUUAAGUUGGAUGUGAAAUCCCCGGGCUCAACCUGGGAACUGCAUCCAAAACUGGCAAGCUAGAGUAUGGUAGAGGGUGGUGGAAUUUCCUGUGUAGCGGUGAAAUGCGUAGAUAUAGGAAGGAACACCAGUGGCGAAGGCGACCACCUGGACC